UUGAUUGUUGUUUUCAGGCUCAGAGAUACACUAAAUAAAACAAGAGUUUGGAACCUCCGGCGGUUUUGGGGUUUUUGGCCCAAGACCGCCGAAGGACUGAGGUAUGUUCACACGGGUUGGAGUUUUUGCAACUCGAUAAUGAUCCCUCCGCUGGUUCACCAACGGAGA
Molecule: unclassified non-coding RNA, 168 nt
Filed under: uncultured fungus
Lineage: Eukaryota; Fungi
Description: sequence contains ITS1
Source: RNAcentral